GACGAACGCUGGCGGCGUGCUUAACACAUGCAAGUCGAACGGAAAGGCCCUGCUUUUGUGGGGUGCUCGAGUGGCGAACGGGUGAGUAACACGUGAGUAACCUGCCCUUGACUUUGGGAUAACUUCAGGGAACUGGGGCUAAUACCGGAUAGGAGCUCCUGCUGCAUGGUGGGGGUUGGAAAGUUUCGGCGGUUGGGGAUGGACUCGCGGCUUAUCAGCUUGUUGGUGGGGUAGUGGCUUACCAAGGCUUUGACGGGUAGCCGGCCUGAGAGGGUGACCGGCCACAUUGGGACUGAGAUACGGCCCAGACUCCUACGGGAGGCAGCAGUGGGGAAUAUUGCACAAUGGGCGGAAGCCUGAUGCAGCAACGCCGCGUGCGGGAUGACGGCCUUCGGGUUGUAAACCGCCUUCGCCUGUGACGAAGCGUGAGUGACGGUAAUGGGUAAAGAAGCACCGGCUAACUACGUG
RNAcentral lists this ribosomal RNA (468 nucleotides) under uncultured bacterium. RNAcentral describes it as "partial 16S ribosomal RNA". It matches the Rfam family "Bacterial small subunit ribosomal RNA", at positions 28 to 507 of the family's 1533-position model. The record is from RNAcentral.